CUCCCACUUCCCACGUAGUAUCGCACUCUCCCGGAAAGUACUUAGCACGGAAAAAGUCACCGAGAGCCGCUUAAUCCUGUUAGGGAAAAGCCGAUCCCCGACCCGAGCCAGCCGUAGCGCGCCCCAGAAGAGCUGUGGCGAACUUCCCCCUGCUUUACUGGUGUGGUCACAUCAUCACUCACAGCUGAAACAUCCAAGAUUAGCAGAAGGCAGAGCAGCCUCAUUUCCAGGCCAGAACACAGCGUCACUCUGCAAGUGCUACCAAUGCUGUUCCUGAAUCCCGAAAGGGAACUGCACUUCAGGCUGGCAUUCCACAGGUGCAGAUUACGUUUGUGCGGAAUGCCUCAUACAGAAAUUAAGAUAAAGAAGGCAAACAGUGUUCUUCAUGAAGGUGCUGGACUUUGGAAGGAGCCACCGAAAGUGCGUAUUCUAUUGACAGCAAAUACGAAACUGCAUUCAGAUGUUGCAUUGAAAAAAAACCUGCUUGUAGCUACAGUUAAUAAUUAACAUGCAUGUGCAUACAAUAGUCUUCAAGUGACUGUUGCAGUCUAAAAGCCCCAAACAGCAAAACUCAGGAAAAAAACUGGACUGAUUGAGAAACAUUUCUGUCAGAUAUAGACAGGUUCAGCAAUUGGUAUGUAAUACAAUAUUGCUUUCAAGCAGAAGUCAAGGCAUGAGGAGUAGCAAUUUAGUUUGACUUGCAGGUAGAUGUCAGAUUAUUUGGUUUUCACUAUGCUGGGUGUCCAUUUCCUUUAUGAAUGAUUAAAAACUUGAGCUGUUAGGUCUCUUUCUGAAGGUGCUGUUGUCAUAGUGGCCUUGCAAUGAUGCUUGGUUAAUGGUUCUAGAAUGCUGAGAAGUAAUACUAUUGUCGUAUCUGAUAUAUUCCUAUUUUUUUUAGUAGAACGGUAGAGAACACUGAUGGCUAGCAGAAGAGCCUACAACUGGAAAACAACAAUGCUUACAAAAUUACUCAUUGUAAUACUGUUAACUUACCAUAAUUACCAUGACAAACAAUUUUAAAAACAAUUCAGCAAAUUGGGGAUGGCAGCAACAUUACACUGCUUGUGUUAAACAUCUACUGUUUCCUUAUCUAAACUUGUUUUUCCUUAACCUGAACUAAAAAAAAAUAAAAGGUUUGUAAUUAAUUGUUCAAAAA
Long non-coding RNA from Columba livia (rock pigeon), 1156 nucleotides. RefSeq lists it as uncharacterized. The transcript is spliced from 3 exons. The record is from RefSeq and is a predicted model, not a curated record. Lineage: Eukaryota; Metazoa; Chordata; Aves; Columbiformes; Columbidae.